Molecule: ribosomal RNA, 692 nt
Filed under: uncultured bacterium
Lineage: Bacteria
Description: bacterial SSU rRNA
Rfam family: Bacterial small subunit ribosomal RNA
Source: RNAcentral
AGAGUUUGAUCCUGGCUCAGAUUGAACGCUGGCGGCAGGCUUAACACAUGCAAGUCGAGCGGAGCGAGGGUGCUUGCACCUUAGCUUAGCGGCGGACGGGUGAGUAAUGCUUAGGAAUCUGCCUAUUAGUGGGGGACAACAUUCCGAAAGGGAUGCUAAUACCGCAUACGCCCUACGGGGGAAAGCAGGGGAUCUUCGGACCUUGCGCUAAUAGAUGAGCCUAAGUCGGAUUAGCUAGUUGGUGGGGUAAAGGCCUACCAAGGCGACGAUCUGUAGCGGGUCUGAGAGGAUGAUCCGCCACACUGGGACUGAGACACGGCCCAGACUCCUACGGGAGGCAGCAGUGGGGAAUAUUGGACAAUGGGCGGAAGCCUGAUCCAGCCAUGCCGCGUGUGUGAAGAAGGCCUUUUGGUUGUAAAGCACUUUAAGCGAGGAGGAGGCUACUAGUAUUAAUACUACUGGAUAGUGGACGUUACUCGCAGAAUAAGCACCGGCUAACUCUGUGCCAGCAGCCGCGGUAAUACAGAGGGUGCGAGCGUUAAUCGGAUUUACUGGGCGUAUAGCGUGCGUAGGCGGCUUUUUAAGUCGGAUGUGAAAUCCCCCGAGCUUAACUUGAGAAUUGCAUUCGAUACUGCGAAGCUAGAGUAUGUGAGAGGAAUGGUAGAAUUCCAGGUGUAGCGGGGAAAUGCGUA